RNAcentral lists this ribosomal RNA (223 nucleotides) under uncultured bacterium. RNAcentral describes it as "partial 16S ribosomal RNA". It matches the Rfam family "Bacterial small subunit ribosomal RNA", at positions 111 to 334 of the family's 1533-position model. The record is from RNAcentral.
UAACGCGUGGGUAACCUGCCUCAUACAGGGGGAUAACAGUUAGAAAUGACUGCUAAUACCGCAUAAGCGCACAGUGCUGCAUGGCACAGUGUGAAAAACUCCGGUGGUAUGAGAUGGACUCGCGUCUGAUUAGCUAGUUGGUGGGGUAACGGCCUACCAAGGCGACGAUCAGUAGCCGGCCUGAGAGGGUGAACGGCCACAUUGGGGCUGAGACACGGCCCAA